This 253-nucleotide ribosomal RNA is filed under the name uncultured bacterium. RNAcentral's name for it is "partial 16S ribosomal RNA". It matches the Rfam family "Bacterial small subunit ribosomal RNA", at positions 524 to 776 of the family's 1533-position model. The record is from RNAcentral.
UACGUAGGGGGCAAGCGUUGUCCGGAAUCAUUGGGCGUAAAGCGCGUGUAGGCGGCCCGAUAAGUCCGCUGUGAAAGUCCAGGGCUCAACCCUGGGAUGCCGGUGGAUACUGUCGGGCUCGAGUCCGGAAGAGGCGAGUGGAAUUCCUGGUGUAGCGGUGAAAUGCGCAGAUAUCAGGAAGAACACCAAUGGCGAAAGCAGCUCUCUGGGACGGUACUGACGCUGAGACGCGAAAGCGUGGGGAGCGAACAGG